AUUGAACGCUGGCGGCAGGCCUAACACAUGCAAGUCGAGCGGAUGAAGGGAGCUUGCUCCUGGAUUCAGCGGCAGACGGGUGAGUAAUGCCUAGGAAUCUGCCUGGUAGUGGGGGAUAACGUCCGGAAACGGGCGCUAAUACCGCAUACGUCCUGAGGGAGAAAGUGGGGGAUCUUCGGACCUCACGCUAUCAGAUGAGCCUAGGUCGGAUUAGCUAGUUGGUGGGGUAAAGGCCUACCAAGGCGACGAUCCGUAACUGGUCUGAGAGGAUGAUCAGUCACACUGGAACUGAGACACGGUCCAGACUCCUACGGGAGGCAGCAGUGGUGAAUAUUGGACAAUGGGCGAAAGCCUGAUCCAGCCAUGCCGCGUGUGUGAAGAAGGUCUUCGGAUUGUAAAGCACUUUAAGUUGGGAGGAAGGGCAGUAAGUUAAUACCUUGCUGUUUUGACGUUACCAACAGAAUAAGCACCGGCUAACUUCGUG
This 484-nucleotide ribosomal RNA is filed under the name uncultured bacterium. Its description in RNAcentral is "partial 16S ribosomal RNA". It matches the Rfam family "Bacterial small subunit ribosomal RNA", at positions 30 to 507 of the family's 1533-position model. The record is from RNAcentral.